CAUGGAGUUGGAAUCGCUAGUAAUCGCGAAUCAGAAUGUCGCGGUGAAUACGUUCCCGGGUCUUGUACACACCGCCCGUCACACCACGAGAGUUUACAACACCCGAAGUCAGUGGCCUAACCGCAAGGAGGGAGCUGCCUAAGGUGGGGUAGAUGAUUGGGGUGAAGUCGUAACAAGGUACC
Molecule: ribosomal RNA, 182 nt
Filed under: uncultured bacterium
Lineage: Bacteria
Description: partial 16S ribosomal RNA
Rfam family: Bacterial small subunit ribosomal RNA
Source: RNAcentral